GUGAGUGAAGUAAGGGUUUCCGGCUACGUAAAGCUCUGUUGGUAGUGAAGAAAGAUAGAGGUAGUAACUGGCCUUUAUUUGACGGUAAUUACUUAGAAAGUCACGGCUAACUACGUGCC
RNAcentral lists this ribosomal RNA (119 nucleotides) under uncultured bacterium. Its description in RNAcentral is "partial 16S ribosomal RNA". The record is from RNAcentral.